UACUUACAGCCUCACAUGGGGAACUAUCACCAUGGGCAGGCAGCAUGUUUGAGUUUGCUGAGCCAAUGUUUGGCCAAGCUGGAAAGGAAGAACUUUGGAG
This is a non-coding RNA of Ceratotherium simum simum (southern white rhinoceros), 100 nucleotides long. NCBI's taxonomy places the organism in Eukaryota, Metazoa, Chordata, Mammalia, Perissodactyla, Rhinocerotidae. The record is from RefSeq and is a predicted model, not a curated record.